This 469-nucleotide long non-coding RNA is filed under the name Hordeum vulgare. RNAcentral's name for it is "long non-coding RNA (HVUL_LNC020855)". The record is from RNAcentral. Lineage: Eukaryota; Viridiplantae; Streptophyta; Magnoliopsida; Poales; Poaceae.
CAUGGUGUUUGAUAUUUCUUUAGAAGCAUGUUACACACGACGCAACAUUGAUAACACACUUCCUUAGGAAGUCAUAGCACAUUACCUAUAUGAACAAUUCCAAAGACUAAACAAAUACUUACUUUAUAGUAAUCUAAAACUAAUUAUAUUACUUUACUGAAAGAGUAUAUCUUAAAAUUUACAAAAUCACUAUAGAUACCACCUAGUCAAAAGACAUAUCAUACACUAAGCGAAUAGGGUUGAAGAGUCUAAAAUAAUUCCAUCAAAUAAGCAAAAACCUCCUUUAAAUCUAGAACUUGAAACAUGAUGGGUUAGGUCCCACCAUAAAGAAGCUAGCCAUUUAUGGUAUGCAUAGUUCCUGGGUUUCAUUUUCAUUUUUAGACUCCACCGCUUGCGUUGCUCCCAGGGGAGUGGACUAGGCGAAAUUCUACCCUCCAGCCAACCUCUCCUCCCAUCUAACCAUCCCUCG